RNAcentral lists this ribosomal RNA (379 nucleotides) under uncultured bacterium. Its description in RNAcentral is "bacterial SSU rRNA". It matches the Rfam family "Bacterial small subunit ribosomal RNA", at positions 774 to 1151 of the family's 1533-position model. The record is from RNAcentral.
AGUAAAUAGAUACCCCGGUAGUCCACGCCGUAAACGAUGAGUACUAGGUGUAGGAGGUAUCGACUCCUUCUGUGCCGCAGUUAAACACAAUAAGUACUCCGCCUGGGAAGUACGGUCGCAAGAUUAAAACUCAAAGGAAUUGACGGGGGCCCGCACAAGCAGCGGAGCAUGUGGUUUAAAUUCGAAGCAACGCGAAGAACCUUACCUAGAUUUGACAUCUCCUGAAUAGUGUAGAGAUACAUGAAGCCCUUCGGGCGAGGAAGACAGGUGGUGCAUGGUUGUCGUCAGCUCGUGUCGUGAGAUGUUGGGUUAAGUCCCGCAACGAGCGCAACCCUUAUUACUAGUUGCUACCAUUAAGUUGAGCACUCUAGUGAGACUG